RNAcentral lists this ribosomal RNA (480 nucleotides) under Bacillus subtilis. RNAcentral describes it as "bacterial SSU rRNA". It matches the Rfam family "Bacterial small subunit ribosomal RNA", at positions 756 to 1235 of the family's 1533-position model. Lineage: Bacteria; Bacillati; Bacillota; Bacilli; Caryophanales; Bacillaceae. The record is from RNAcentral.
AAAGCGUGGGGAGCGAACAGGAUUAGAUACCCUGGUAGUCCACGCCGUAAACGAUGAGUGCUAAGUGUUAGGGGGUUUUCCCCCCUUAGUGCUGCAGCUAACGCAUUAAGCACUCCGCCUGGGGAGUACGGUCGCAAGACUGAAACUCAAAGGAAUUUGACGGGGGCCCGCACAAGCGGUGGAGCAUGUGGUUUAAUUCGAAGCAACGCGAAGAACCUUACCAGGUCUUGACAUCCUCUGACAAUCCUAGAGAUAGGACGUCCCCUUCGGGGGCAGAGUGACAGGUGGUGCAUGGUUGUCGUCAGCUCGUGUCGUGAGAUGUUGGGUUAAGUCCCGCAACGAGCGCAACCCUUGAUCUUAGUUGCCAGCAUUCAGUUGGGCACUCUAAGGUGACUGCCGGUGACAAACCGGAGGAAGGUUGGGAUGACGUCAAAUCAUCAUGCCCCUUAUGACCUGGGCUACACACGUGCUACAAUGGAC